CUACGGGAUGCUCCAGUGAGGAAUAUUGCACAAUGGGGGGAACCCUGAUGCAGCAACGCCGCGUGGAGGAUGACGCAUUUCGGUGUGUAAACUCCUUUUAUAUGUCAAGAAAAUGACGGUAGCAUAUGAAUAAGCACCGGCUAACUCCGUGCCAGCAGCCGCGGUAAUACGGAGGGUGCAAGCGUUACUCGGAAUCACUGGGCGUAAAGGACGCGUAGGCGGGUUGGAAAGUCAGGUGUGAAAUCCUACAGCUUAACUGUAGAACUGCACUUGAAACUUCGAAUCUAGAGUAUGGGAGGGGGAGAUGGAAUUAGUGGUGUAGGGGUAAACUCCGUAGAUAUCACUAGGAAUACCUAAAGCGAAGGCGAUCUCCUGGAACAUUACUGACGCUAAGGCGUGAAAGCGUGGGGAGCAAACAGGAUUAGAUACCCCCGUAGUC
This 439-nucleotide ribosomal RNA is filed under the name uncultured bacterium. Its description in RNAcentral is "partial 16S ribosomal RNA". It matches the Rfam family "Bacterial small subunit ribosomal RNA", at positions 339 to 795 of the family's 1533-position model. The record is from RNAcentral.